GAAAUGCGAUAAGUAAUGUGAAUUGCAGAAUUCAGUGAAUCAUCGAAUCUUUGAACGCACAUUGCGCCCGUCAGCAUUCUGGCGGGCAUGCCUGUUCGAGCGUCAUUUCAACCCUCAGGACCCCCCUUUCGCGGGGAGGGACCUGGCGUUGGGGAUCGGCCCGCCCCCCGCGGCGGCGCCGUCCCCGAAAUCUAGUGGCGGUCUCGCUGUAGCCUCCCCUGCGUAGUAGUUACAACCUCGCAUCGGAGCGCGGCGCGGCCACGCCGUAAAACCCCCGACUUUCUGAACGUUGACCUCGGAUCAGGUAGGAAUACCCGCUGAACUUAAGC
RNAcentral lists this unclassified non-coding RNA (329 nucleotides) under plant metagenome. RNAcentral's name for it is "partial contains 5.8S ribosomal RNA, internal transcribed spacer 2, and large subunit ribosomal RNA". The stretch from base 1 to 105 matches the Rfam family "5.8S ribosomal RNA", at positions 50 to 154 of the family's 154-position model. The record is from RNAcentral.